This 460-nucleotide ribosomal RNA is filed under the name uncultured bacterium. RNAcentral describes it as "partial 16S ribosomal RNA". It matches the Rfam family "Bacterial small subunit ribosomal RNA", at positions 338 to 795 of the family's 1533-position model. The record is from RNAcentral.
CCUACGGGAGGCAGUAGUGAGGAAUAUUGGUCAAUGGGCGCGAGCCUGAACCAGCCAAGUAGCGUGAAGGAUGACUGCCCUACGGGUUGUACACUUCUUUUAUAAAGGAAUAAAGUGAGGCACGUGUGCCUUUUUGUAUGUACUUUAUGAAUAAGGAUCGGCUAACUCCGUGCCAGCGGCCGCGGUAAUACGGAGGAUCCGAGCGUUAUCCGGAUUUAUUUGGUUUAAAGGGAGCGUAGAUGGGUUGUUAAGUCAGUUGUGAAAGUUUGCGGCUCAACCGUAAAAUUGCAAUUGAUACUGGCAGUCUUGAGGACAGUUGAGGUAGGCGGAAUUCGUGGUGUAGCGGUGAAAUGCUUUGAUAUCACGAAGAACUCCGAUUGCGAAGGCAGCUUACUAAACUGCCACUGACAUUGAUGCUCGAAAGUGUGGGUAGCAAACAGGAUUAGAUACCCCAGUAGUC